Molecule: ribosomal RNA, 497 nt
Filed under: uncultured bacterium
Lineage: Bacteria
Description: partial 16S ribosomal RNA
Rfam family: Bacterial small subunit ribosomal RNA
Source: RNAcentral
AAUGAACGCUGGCGGCGUGCCUAAUACAUGCAAGUCGAGCGAACGGACGAGAAGCUUGCUUUUCUGAUGUUAGCGGCGGACGGGUGAGUAACACGUGGAUCACCUACCUAUAAGACUGGGAUAACUUCGGGAAACCGGAGCUAAUAACGGAUAAUAUUUUGAACCGCAUGGUUCAAAAGUGAAAGACGGUCUUGCUGUCACUUAUAGAUGGAUCCGCGCUGCAUUAGCUAGUUGGUAAGGUAACGGCUUACCAAGGCAACGAUGCAUAGCCGACCUGAGAGGGUGAUCGGCCACACUGGAACUGAGACACGGUCCAGACUCCUACGGGAGGCAGCAGUAGGGAAUCUUCCGCAAUGGGCGAAAGCCUGACGGAGCAACGCCGCGUGAGUGAUGAAGGUCUUCGGAUCGUAAAACUCUGUUAUUAGGGAAGAACAUAUGUGUAAGUAACUGUGCACAUCUUGACGGUACCUAAUCAGAAAGCCACGGCUAACUACGUG